Non-coding RNA from Acanthosepion pharaonis, 110 nucleotides. The record is from the annotation of a GenBank genome assembly. Lineage: Eukaryota; Metazoa; Mollusca; Cephalopoda; Sepiida; Sepiidae.
UACGGCUAUAUCACGUUGAAACACCUGUUUUCAUACGAUCACCAAGUUAAGCAACAUCGAGUCUGGUGAGUACCUAGAUGGGUGACCUCUUGGGAAUAUCAGGUCUUGUA